RNAcentral lists this ribosomal RNA (481 nucleotides) under uncultured bacterium. Its description in RNAcentral is "partial 16S ribosomal RNA". It matches the Rfam family "Bacterial small subunit ribosomal RNA", at positions 28 to 507 of the family's 1533-position model. The record is from RNAcentral.
GACGAACGUUGGCGGCGUGCUUAAUACAUGCAAGUCAACUGAAGCAGUGGUAGCAAUAUCGCUGUGUAGGUGGCGCACGGGUGAGUAACACUUAGGUAAUCUGCCUUCAGGUCUGGCAUAACUCCGGGAAACCGGGGCUAAUAGCAGAUGAUGCAGCGGCUCGACAUCGAGACAGUUGUUAAAGCUAUGGCGCCUGAAGAUGAGCCUGCGUCUGAUUAGCUAGUUGGCGGGGUAACGGCCCACCAAGGCAACGAUCAGUAGCUGGUCUGAGAGGAUGAUCAGCCACACUGGAACUGAGACACGGUCCAGACUCCUACGGGAGGCAGCAGGAAGGAAUAUUGCUCAAUGGGAGAAAUCAUGAAGCAGCAACGCCGCGUGAGGGACGAAGGGCUUUUGCUUGUAAACCUCUGUAGUGAGAGAAAAAAAUCCCAAUCUUUGGGACAUGAUGGUAUCUCAAAAGUAAGCCCCGGCUAACUACGUG